Molecule: transfer RNA, 74 nt
Filed under: Flavobacterium panici
Lineage: Bacteria; Pseudomonadati; Bacteroidota; Flavobacteriia; Flavobacteriales; Flavobacteriaceae
Also listed under: 1 other name
Description: Flavobacterium sp. PXU-55 tRNA-Asn
Rfam family: tRNA
About the family: Transfer RNA (tRNA) molecules are approximately 80 nucleotides in length. Their secondary structure includes four short double-helical elements and three loops (D, anti-codon, and T loops).
Source: RNAcentral
GAUUUCGUAGCUCAAUUGGCAGAGCGCUUGACUGUUAAUCAAUAGGUUGAAGGUUCGAUUCCUUCCGAAAUCGC